CUACGGGAGGCUGCAGUGGGGAAUAUUGGACAAUGGGCGCAAGCCUGAUCCAGCAAUGCCGCGUGAGUGAAGACGGCCUUAGGGUUGUAAAACUCUUUCGCUAGGGAAGAUAAUGACUGUACCUAGUAAAGAAGUCCCGGCUAACUCCGUGCCAGCAGCCGCGGUAAUACGGAGGGGACUAGCGUUGUUCGGAAUUACUGGGCGUAAAGAGUUCGUAGGCGGACUGACAAGUUAGAGGUGAAAUCCCAGGGCUCAACCCUGGAACUGCCUUUAAAACUGUCAGUCUAGAGACCGGAAGAGGUUAGGGGAAUACCUAGUGUAGAGGUGAAAUUCGUAGAUAUUAGGUGGAACACCAGUGGCGAAGGCGCCUAACUGGUCCGGUACUGACGCUGAGGAACGAAAGCGUGGGGAGCAAACAGGAUUAGAUACCCCUGUAGUC
This 439-nucleotide ribosomal RNA is filed under the name uncultured bacterium. RNAcentral's name for it is "partial 16S ribosomal RNA". It matches the Rfam family "Bacterial small subunit ribosomal RNA", at positions 339 to 795 of the family's 1533-position model. The record is from RNAcentral.